CUCUCAUUCAGAGAAGAAAUGAUGUAGUCUACCCCCUUUUAAAAAAGUUUUCCACUGGCUCAAAGAUAGCUCUAUGCAAUCCGCCAGCAAACCACCGCGCGAUCAGAGCACCACCCGCAACCUAUCAUUAUCAGACUAACGCAGUACAUCACAAAGUACAUCACAAGUGGAGUCAAUCCUUAUAAUUUACUUAUUCGGUUCUCACAAAUCCGCGGUUUGGAAGCUGAAGAAGAACAUAAAACCGGCCAAUCCAGCAAGCUUCGGGCCAGGAACCCUUCAAGCUUCGUAUCCCAGCGUUCCAGCAAGACGUUUUUAUCCCUUGCUCCCCGCAGCUAGCCCUGGAGCCAACCCUGUCCAGCCACUUCUAGGUUAGGCUCAGGGGCCAGGGGAACCGGGGAACCGGGGAACCGGGCUGGAUCAACAACUGACUUGGAAUAAUGAAUCCAAACCGAACAAGCAGGGAGCACAGCAGAGCCAUGUUUGCGUUCUGCGGGACCCUACAUCUAUUCCCGUCCAGGCAUUCCUACUUGGUAUCUUCCAACGACCGAAAAGGAUGCGGAUAGAGUGCAAGCUGCUGGUUCGCCGUCCCAUCCAGCCAAUCGUGUUCAUCACUACAUCCUUCCGAGCCUACGCUUUGACCGUCUAAAUUUCUUGCUUUGCUUGGCUAGUGACAUGUGGUUCCUGAACUUCGUAGUAAUAAUAAUUUCAGCAAGAUAUGAGAAUAGGAAACUAUACGAAAUAACAAUUUCCUUUGUAUGCUAUUCCCUUUGAACGCCUAGCUUUAAAAAAAAAAAAAAAUUCAGUCACCCACCCCCUGAUAUAUAUCUAUAUGGACACCCAACUCUAACUCCCCAAUCACGAUUUCUUAGCGAAUCCCAAUCUACAAAUUCUUUGCUGGCACAAAGUAUUUUAUACCCUCAACUUCCCCAGUUGUAUAAUAGUUGUUUUGUUUUUUCGGCUAUUUUCCCCCUCCCCUCCCAUCCUGCUUCCUCUUCGCCUAUUUCUUCCUCGUCUCCCCUGACCAGGCGCGCAUCUCCUUUGCGCUGCUAUGGGCUGCUCGGAAUACUUGAUAUAUGUUCCCGCCCACACACGGAACAGUAAGCAUUAGCGGGGUAAGAAGCAAUGGCAACACUUCAAGGAGAAAUACAAAAUAUAACGACACGGCACGGAAAGAAAGAGAGAAGAAAAAGAAGAAGAAGAAGAAGAAGAAGAAGAAGGGCAAAAGUAUAAAGAAAACUCACACUGCCUCUCCGUCUCAUCCAGCCCACGUAAGAACUCCACCCCAUCGCCCAGCGCGCCGCGCGAGUUAUGCGCAUGGUCCGCAAUCUCCAUUGCGCGUUUCUUGAAUGUCUCCAUAAGAACAUCAACCAUCUCCUCCUCCUCAAACAGUUGCAGGAUGCGCACGCCAAGUCUAUAGAAGUGCGGCGCCAGGGAGCGCAGGUCCACGGUGCGCGGGUCGGCUUUUAGCGCGUUCAUGACCUUUUCAGAGAGGGCGCUGGGCAGGUCGAGGGUGACGAGGGGGGAGGAGUCGGUGCGGGCGCUGUACGAGUGUGAGCCUGGAGGAAUUGGGGGAAAUUGAGAGCAUUUGGUAGGUGUUUGCGUUGUUUAAGAUGGUAGUUUGGGGAAGGAUGGGUACAGUAGAGGACGAACCCAACAGCAAGCAUCUCGCCGAGCCAGAGGGGGAGGUCGAUUCGGGUACCUGGCUUUAUCUGGGGAGGUGGAAAGGAUGGGAUUAGUUUGGGAUAUCUUCGACUCGACGCCAUGAACAACAGGACUAAAAAGCAAACGGCAAAAGGCAAGACGCGUAGACUACAGGGGAAAAAAAAGAGAAUAACAUACGUCCUCCCCAACAUUGCCAUCCAGGUAACCCAGCCCUGGAACCUCGAGUUCGAAUGUGCAUGGUAGUUUCUUGCCCCCCAACAGCGAGCACCAGCACCCCGCCGCCGUCAGCCAUUAUCAAAAGCCAUCUGGAAAUUUAUUUUUCAAAAGGG
RNAcentral lists this small RNA (1991 nucleotides) under Histoplasma capsulatum var. duboisii H88. RNAcentral's name for it is "Histoplasma capsulatum H88 hypothetical RNA". Lineage: Eukaryota; Fungi; Ascomycota; Eurotiomycetes; Onygenales; Ajellomycetaceae. The record is from RNAcentral.